AUGUCAUUCUCUUUCCACUUUUUUCGCUCCCCAGGGAUGGCAGGAAACCUGAGGGGAAUGAAUUCUACGGCAUUUAGAGAGAUGUUUGGCAUAUUCAGACAUGGUUGUUUUAAUCCAAAGUUUAAGAAAGAUGGGGACUGGGAGGGAGACUAUACAAAGAAGACAGGAAGUCAGACUGUCACUGGUGUGGCACGGGUUCGACCCCUGGCCAGGGAAGCUUCACAUGCUGCAGGCGCGGCCACAAGGAAAAAAGGAAGAGAAAGGAGGACGUCGGAACCUCUACUGGACUGUACAGGCAAGGAGACUGGCCUGCCUUGGAGGGUCCGUCCCUGGACCGUCUGGACACAGGCCCGCGUUUGCGAGAUGAAGCCCUCGUGGUUCCCAGACCCGAGUCCACACCCCGCUCUUCCUGUAACCCGUCCAUUAAAUGGAGUUCCGGCCCUUGGACUGUGGAUCCCAAGCUUUUCGCCAUUUUUCCACUGGGGGCACCUCUGUCCAGUGCAGUCCUUACACUGGCUCAACAGCAGUUGCUCGACAUAUAAAUGGGCGUUAGGCCAGCGGUUUUUUGUUGGCAUGUCUGUAUGCACGUCCCUCUGUAUGUAUAUGCGUAUGCAUUUUGGCCCCUCCGUCAGCGUGCAGAAGUUCCCCAGGCCAGAGAUGGAACCUGUGCCACAGUAGUGACGAUGCCAAAUCCUCAACCCACUAAGCCACCAGGAAACUCCCAGGCCAAAGCUUCAAAAGGAUGGGGUGCUGGGGUCAUGUGGGAGCACGUUCCAGAAAAGCCAUAUCGACACGUCAGGCGCGUCCUACAUCCUCAGACUGCAGGAGACUUGGGUCUGCGCAUGUCCUUUCAAGUCUUGGAGGGGACUCUGCUGC
Molecule: long non-coding RNA, 876 nt
Filed under: Sus scrofa (pig)
Lineage: Eukaryota; Metazoa; Chordata; Mammalia; Artiodactyla; Suidae
Description: lncRNA (ENSSSCG00050011693.1)
Source: RNAcentral